UACGUAGGGACCAAGCGUUGUUCGGAUUUACUGGGCGUAAAGGGCGCGUAGGCGGUCGUGACAAGUCACUUGUGAAAUCUCCGGGCUUAACUCGGAACGGUCAAGUGAUACUGUCGGACUAGAGGUACAGAAGGGGCGAACAUGGAAUUCUCGGUGUAGCGGUGAAAUGCGUAGAUAUCGAGAGGAACACCUGCGGCGAAGGCGGGUUGCUGGGCUGAUACUGACGCUGGAGGCGCGAAAGCUAGGGGAGCGAACGGG
This 258-nucleotide ribosomal RNA is filed under the name uncultured bacterium. Its description in RNAcentral is "partial 16S ribosomal RNA". It matches the Rfam family "Bacterial small subunit ribosomal RNA", at positions 524 to 776 of the family's 1533-position model. The record is from RNAcentral.